Long non-coding RNA from Dendrobium catenatum, 657 nucleotides. RefSeq lists it as uncharacterized. NCBI's taxonomy places the organism in Eukaryota, Viridiplantae, Streptophyta, Magnoliopsida, Asparagales, Orchidaceae. The transcript has 2 exons. The record is from RefSeq and is a predicted model, not a curated record.
GGUGAAGCGAUGAUCUGGGCCUUAUUUCUUCAAUCUGCUGUCAAACUCACUGCAACCAGCGAGCGCGAGCGAAGGACAAAGCGGCGAAAGGAUGUGCCAAGGGCAAAAUCUCCGCAAUGAUCUCCGGCGGCCGGCGUCUACGUUGACGAUAACGCCGGUGACGGCGCGUCUGGCUGUGACCAACGUUGAGCUGGCGGCGGCGAGGGCUAGGCUUGUCGAGUCGAUGGCGCAGCUCGAGAGGGAGCGUGCCCGCGCCGCAGAACUUCGCCGACGCCUGGCAGAGUCCUACGCGGAGCGAGAUCGGCUCCGGAAGCUUGCAUCUGUUAUGGACAUUAUACGGUACCGCCUCGCCUCGAAGAAGCUCCGUCUUGAGGCCACGUCUAGGAGCCGAGCUGACUAGGGUUAUCCUUUUUUUUCGAUAUUCUCGCAACUACCUACCAGCAAAACAGGAGGGCACUAUAUCAAUAGGUCUUUCAGAAGCUGGUGAUUUGUGUACCAGCAGGAGAUCUGCAAUACUUGAUUCAUGAAAUAAUUGUAUCAGUUAAUUCGAAUUUUAAAGUAUUUUUCUGAAACAAUUAAUGCGUAUUGACACAUGCAUAUGUAUCAUUCUCAUUCAAGUUUUAAGAUUGAUUUGGAGCUUCGCUUGAACUUGUGCAA